UGGGGAAUAUUGCACAAUGGGCGCAAGCCUGAUGCAGCCAUGCCGCGUGUAUGAAGAAGGCCUUCGGGUUGUAAAGUACUUUCAGCGAGGAGGAAGGUGGUGAGGUUAAUAACCUCAUCAAUUGACGUUACUCGCAGAAGAAGCACCGGCUAACUCCGUGCCAGCAGCCGCGGUAAUACGGAGGGUGCAAGCGUUAAUCGGAAUUACUGGGCGUAAAGCGCACGCAGGCGGUCUGUCAAGUCGGAUGUGAAAUCCCCGGGCUCAACCUGGGAACUGCAUUCGAAACUGACAGGCUAGAGUCUUGUAGA
This 308-nucleotide ribosomal RNA is filed under the name uncultured Enterobacteriaceae bacterium. Its description in RNAcentral is "bacterial SSU rRNA". It matches the Rfam family "Bacterial small subunit ribosomal RNA", at positions 355 to 655 of the family's 1533-position model. The record is from RNAcentral. Lineage: Bacteria; Pseudomonadati; Pseudomonadota; Gammaproteobacteria; Enterobacterales; Enterobacteriaceae.